CUUUUUACAUUUUUUACAGAGACAAGGAUCUUACUAUAUUACCCAGGCUGGUCUCAAACUCCUGACCUUCAAGUCAUCCUCCUGCCUCUGCCUCCAGAGUAGCUGGGAUUACAGAUAUGAGCCGCUACACCUGCCCCUUGCCAAAGGGUCCCAUCCACCAACCCCCUGGUGGAGCCUCACUUCGUCUGGAUGGCUGGAGGGGCCUGAAGCCAAGGAGAACAUGGAGAAACAGGCGAGUGCCCCCACACAGCAGACACCAGCGCAUUUUAAAGAUGUUUCCACUUUAUAAAUCAUCCUUUUCUGGCAGCCACCGAGAGCCGCUCCCCCAACAACACACACGGAGCCCAACGUAGUGCUUUCCCGUUGGCCAGAGAUGGGGAUGGAAACAGAAGAGCGGCGCCCCUGGGAUGAAA
This 413-nucleotide long non-coding RNA is filed under the name Homo sapiens (human). RNAcentral describes it as "HSALNT0390999". The record is from RNAcentral. Lineage: Eukaryota; Metazoa; Chordata; Mammalia; Primates; Hominidae.